GCUAAUGUCACAGCUCCAGAGAAGUCCUCCUUAAGCCCUUGAGAUCAGUUGUUCCCUAUCACAUCAGCUUAAAAAAAUGCCCUACUCCUCUAGGAUUCUUAUUUGUUUAUCAUUUAUUUCCUCUAGUAGAAUGAGCUCUCGUGGGCAUGACCACGUCUAUCUCGUUUGCUGCUGUACUGAGUGACAUCUGGGUGCUUGUGUGCUCAGUCGCUCCAGUCGUGUCUGACUCUGCCACCCGGGGACUCCAGCCUGCCAGGCUCCUCAGCCCAGGGGAUUCUCCAGGCAAGGAUACUGGAGUGGGUUGCCAUGCCCUCCUUGAUAAACAUUUGUGAACGAAUGAAUGAGUGAAGAAAUGGAUGGACACAGAGCCUUGGAAUCCACGACUCUCGGGGUGAAAGGUACAAGGUGAUGCCACGGGCAACAUUCAUCCGGCCGCUCGUUUACUCAGAAGUCCAUGCUGCUGUGUUAGCUGCCCAGUCCUGUCUGACUCUUUGCGACUCCAUGGACUAUGACCCGCCGGGCUCCUCUGUCCAUGGAAUUCUCCAGGCAAGAAUGCUGGAGUGAGCUGCCAUUUCCUCCUCCAGCGGAUCGUCUGAACCCAGGGAUUGAACCCGGGUCUUCUGCGUUGCAGGCAGACUCUUCACCCUCUGAGCCACCAGGGAAGUCCGGAAUCCACACAGGGUGUUGACUACGUACGUGACUAGUUAUAGAAUGUGGGGGGUGCCCUGUGCAAAAUUAAAUGCAGCGCCUCUUAUUCAAAAGGAAAAAUUUCAAGAUGGUGCCAGCAAGGGAGCGUCUGAACGUGGGGCCCCGUGGGAGGGGCC
Molecule: long non-coding RNA, 824 nt
Organism: Bos taurus (domestic cattle)
Lineage: Eukaryota; Metazoa; Chordata; Mammalia; Artiodactyla; Bovidae
Source: Ensembl